RNAcentral lists this long non-coding RNA (1391 nucleotides) under Zonotrichia albicollis (white-throated sparrow). RNAcentral describes it as "lncRNA (ENSZALG00000002126.1)". Lineage: Eukaryota; Metazoa; Chordata; Aves; Passeriformes; Passerellidae. The record is from RNAcentral.
GAGUGAUAGAACUUUUUGCACUGCUUGUACUAUGGCUGAAGAAGGCAGUAACAGCGUUACUUACCCGCAAGAUAUUUUUGCUGUAGGCUUUAAGAAUCGCACAGGCGUUUUAGGCUGAAGACCUAGUGAGGGACAUAGCUACUUGGUUAGCUCUAGGAGAGUUUAGGCCUUGGGUAGUUGGGUAGACAUGCAGUGAUGUACCUGGUAUGUUUAUUCUAAAAUUGGCUGUACUUGGAUGCAGUACACUUGUGCAUUAUAACACACAGAAAUCACAUGGAGUUAAUAAAAUCUGUACAAGAAUAAUUUUAAACAGUGCUUUUUUUUGGUGAAAUUUUUACUGGAAGCUUUGCUACAUAUGAGGAAAAGGGAGAAAUGUGUUACUGAACAUUUAACAUAAUUAUAUUUUAGUUCUCAUAAUUUGGAACAGGGUGGUGCGUAUGAUCAGAAGAAAGGAACUUUUUUCCUUUCAGUUACAUUCCUGAUUUCUUGAUUAGUUUUUUCACCAUUGAUUUUAAUUUUUUUUUCCAGUGAAUACAGAGGAAGUUAAGAAGCUCAAGUCUUUGAAUAAAUUUCUUGCUUAACAAAGUGAGAGCUGUAUAAUGAAUUCACUCUCUGCAUCCUACCUGUUAACUGAGAGUAUUGCUAGGUGCAGACUUACUAUGUAAUAUGAAGCCUAUGACUUUGAUUAAAAUUGUUACAUUUAGUGUCUGGUUCUCCCAUUUUAUCUUCCCCACCAGCUUAGCAUUUCACUGUAUGCAUGAAAACUAGUAUGUUAAGUAACUCAAACAUUCUAAUGUGUUGCUCUGUUUUUUAGGUUCUAUUCCUGGACCAAUUUUGUUUGGUGCUGCUAUAGACAACAGUUGUACUCUGUGGGAUAUUGAUGAAUGUGAAACUAAAGGAGCUUGCUGGGUAUAUGACAAUGAAAGAAUGGCUUAUUUGCUCAUGGGCAUAAGUACUGCUUGCAAAAUCAUCACAAUCAUCUUUGUGGUCAUGGCAGUGUAUUUCUACAAGCCUCCACCAUUAACUGAAGCCCUGCAACAAAAGACGUCAGAAAAGAUAUCUGCUAUACACACAUAAAUUAUGAGCAAAUCAGGGACUUGUGAAAGAAAACUGUAAAAAUAAGCAUUAUUACAACACUUGUACCAAAGUUCUUGUACACCGUUGCCUAAAUAUAAAAGAUCAUAUUCAACAUUGAAGAACUUGAAAUAUUUUGAAUCUGCGCUAUUCUCUAAUUCAUUUAGUAUUCCAUUGUGGCUGUCCAAAGAAGUCACACUGAAAUUAGCAGUCUAAUUUUAAAAGUCUAGUAUGAAACUUAAUUGAAGUAAGAUGGAAUACUCUGAUCAUAAAACAGGAAAAAUAAAGUGAACUGAGCUGUGUUUAUCCCUAAAUGU